CUGGAUCGGUACGUGCUAGCAAAAAAUACCUAGUGUAAACCAAAGAAGAUGGAUGCAGUUUAUCCUCACAGUUAACAACCAGAUAUAAUUAGACAUCCCAAACAGCACAAGACCCAGCAAGGCUGCACUGUUAAUCUUUCCAAUAUGAAACCUGAUGAUUUUUAAAACUUAUUUUGGAAAUUCAAGUAUUCUUUAUCAACCAGGGAUCCCUUGUUCACACACUUAUUAGCUACUUCAGAGAACUCCAAUCACUUUUGAGACAUGACUUCCUUUAAUUAAAACCCUUCUCUAGCA
This is a long non-coding RNA of Corapipo altera (White-ruffed manakin), 294 nucleotides long. RefSeq lists it as uncharacterized. Lineage: Eukaryota; Metazoa; Chordata; Aves; Passeriformes; Pipridae. The record is from RefSeq and is a predicted model, not a curated record. The transcript is spliced from 2 exons.